RNAcentral lists this ribosomal RNA (233 nucleotides) under uncultured bacterium. Its description in RNAcentral is "partial 16S ribosomal RNA". It matches the Rfam family "Bacterial small subunit ribosomal RNA", at positions 99 to 334 of the family's 1533-position model. The record is from RNAcentral.
CGGACGGGUGAGUAAUGUCUGGGAAACUGCCUGAUGGAGGGGGAUAACUACUGGAAACGGUAGCUAAUACCGCAUAACGUCGCAAGACCUAAAGAGGGGGACCUUCGGGCCUCUUGCCAUCGGAUGUGCCCAGAUGGGAUUAGCUAGUAGGUGGGGUAACGGCUCACCUAGGCGACGAUCCCUAGCUGGUCUGAGAGGAUGACCAGCCACACUGGAACUGAGACACGGUCCAG